RNAcentral lists this ribosomal RNA (423 nucleotides) under uncultured bacterium. Its description in RNAcentral is "bacterial SSU rRNA". It matches the Rfam family "Bacterial small subunit ribosomal RNA", at positions 335 to 774 of the family's 1533-position model. The record is from RNAcentral.
ACUCCUACGGGAGGCAGCAGUGGGGAAUCUUGGACAAUGGGCGCAAGCCUGAUCCAGCCAUGCCGCGUGAGUGAUGAAGGCCUUAGGGUCGUAAAGCUCUUUCGCCAGGGAUGAUAAUGACAGUACCUGGUAAAGAAACCCCGGCUAACUCCGUGCCAGCAGCCGCGGUAAUACGGAGGGGUUAGCGUUGUUCGGAAUUACUGGGGCGUAAAGCGCGCGUAGGCGGAUUAGUCAGUCAGAGGUGAAAUCCCAGGGGCUCAACCCUGGAACUGCCUUUGAUACUGCUAGUCUUGAGUUCGAGAGAGGUGAGUGGAAUUCCGAGUGUAGAGGUGAAAUUCGUAGAUAUUCGGAGGAACACCAGUGGCGAAGGCGGCUCACUGGCUCGAUACUGACGCUGAGGUGCGAAAGUGUGGGGAGCAAACA